Molecule: ribosomal RNA, 497 nt
Filed under: uncultured bacterium
Lineage: Bacteria
Description: partial 16S ribosomal RNA
Rfam family: Bacterial small subunit ribosomal RNA
Source: RNAcentral
GAUGAACGCUGGCGGCGUGCCUAAUACAUGCAAGUCGAGCGAACAGACGAGGAGCUUGCUCCUCUGACGUUAGCGGCGGACGGGUGAGUAACACGUGGAUAACCUACCUAUAAGACUGGGAUAACUUCGGGAAAUCGGAGCUAAUACCGGAUAAUAUAUUGAACCGCAUGGUUCAAUAGUGAAAGACGGUUUUGCUGUCACUUAUAGAUGGAUCCGCGCCGCAUUAGCUAGUUGGUAAGGUAACGGCUUACCAAGGCAACGAUGCGUAGCCGACCUGAGAGGGUGAUCAGCCACACUGGAACUGAGACACGGUCCAGACUCCUACGGGAGGCAGCAGUAGGGAAUCUUCCGCAAUGGGCGAAAGCCUGACGGAGCAACGCCGCGUGAGUGAUGAAGGUCUUCGGAUCGUAAAACUCUGUUAUUAGGAAAGAACAAAUGUGUAAGUAAAUAUGCACGUCUUGACGGUACCUAAUCAGAAAGCCACGGCUAACUACGUG